UACGGAGGGUGCGAGCGUUGUCCGGAAUGACUGGGCGUAAAGGGCGCGUAGGCGGCUUGCACAGUCAGGCGUGAAAUUCCUGGGCUCAACCUGGGGACUGCGCUUGAGACGUGUGGGCUUGAGUGGGGAAGAGGGUCGUGGAAUUCCCAGUGUAGAGGUGAAAUUCGUGAGAUAUUGGGAAGAACACCGGUGGCGAAGGCGGCGACCUGGUCCUUGACUGACGCUGAGGCGCGAAGCGUGGGGAGCAAACAGG
This 253-nucleotide ribosomal RNA is filed under the name uncultured bacterium. RNAcentral's name for it is "partial 16S ribosomal RNA". It matches the Rfam family "Bacterial small subunit ribosomal RNA", at positions 524 to 776 of the family's 1533-position model. The record is from RNAcentral.